RNAcentral lists this ribosomal RNA (440 nucleotides) under uncultured bacterium. Its description in RNAcentral is "partial 16S ribosomal RNA". It matches the Rfam family "Bacterial small subunit ribosomal RNA", at positions 338 to 795 of the family's 1533-position model. The record is from RNAcentral.
CCUACGGGGAGCAGCAGUGGGGGAUAUUGCACAAUGGGGGGAACCCUGAUGCAGCGACGCCGCGUGGGUGAAGAAGCGCCUCGGCGCGUAAAGCCCCGUCAGCAGGGGAGAAAAUGACGGUACCUGAAGAAGAAGCCCCGGCUAACUACGUGCCCGCAGCCGCGGUAAUACGUAGGGGGCAAGCGUUAUCCGGAUUUACUGGGUGGAAAGGGGGCGCAGACGGCGAUGCAAGCCAGGAGUGAAAGCCCGGGGCCCAACCCCGGGACUGCGCGUGGAACUGCGUGGCUGGAGUGCAGGAGGGGCAGGCGGAAUUCCUGGUGUAGCGGUGAAAUGCGUAGAUAUCAGGAGGAACACCGGUGGCGAAGGCGGCCUGCUGGACUGCAACUGACGUUGAGGCCCGAAAGCGUGGGGAGCAAACAGGAUUAGAUACCCCUGUAGUC